This is a non-coding RNA of Paramuricea clavata, 73 nucleotides long. The record is from the annotation of a GenBank genome assembly. Lineage: Eukaryota; Metazoa; Cnidaria; Anthozoa; Malacalcyonacea; Plexauridae.
GCCUCUGUAGCUCAGUUGGUUAGAGCACUGCACCGGAAUCGCAGACCCGCAGGUUCGAAUCCUGCCAGGGACC